This 462-nucleotide ribosomal RNA is filed under the name uncultured bacterium. RNAcentral's name for it is "partial 16S ribosomal RNA". It matches the Rfam family "Bacterial small subunit ribosomal RNA", at positions 28 to 507 of the family's 1533-position model. The record is from RNAcentral.
GACGAACGCUGGCGGCGUGCUUAACACAUGCGAGUCGAGCGGAAAGGCCCUUCGGGGUACUCGAGCGGCGAACGGGUGAGUAACACGUGAGUAACCUGCCCUAGGCUUUGGGAUAACCCCGGGAAACCGGGGCUAAUACCGGAUAUGACCUGGUGCCGCAUGGUGUUGGGUGGAAAGUUUUUUCGGCCUGGGAUGGGCUCGCGGCCUAUCAGCUUGUUGGUGGGGUGAUGGCCUACCAAGGCGAUGACGGGUAGCCGGCCUGAGAGGGCGACCGGCCACACUGGGACUGAGACACGGCCCAGACUCCUACGGGAGGCAGCAGUGGGGAAUAUUGCACAAUGGGCGGAAGCCUGAUGCAGCGACGCCGUGUGAGGGAUGAAGGCCUUCGGGUUGUAAACCUCUUUCAGCAGGGACGAAGCGUGAGUGACGGUACCUGCAGAAGAAGCGCCGGCCAACUACGUG